UGCGAUUUUACUUCAGAGAAUCACUUCUAAAGGAAAAAUCCCAUCUCUGUGUUCCCUACAGGAGCCACAGAUCCCACCCUGGUUGAUGACCGAAAAUCCCCGCUGCCUCAGAGUGAAACUUUCUUACUUCCGGGAGCUAGCCGCCUCUGGUGCGCUACGCCCCCGUACUCUCGCUCUGUCCGCAAGGAUGGCGGUCAUUUUGUCCCUUCUGGCAACAGAAAUGCGACUGGCUGUAUAGAGAGUGUUUGAUGAUCUCGAUCCUGGUUUCUGUGUCUGCCUUUUGUGGCGCGCGGGCCAGGGUAGGCUUCGUGGGACGUCUGACAGGC
RNAcentral lists this small nucleolar RNA (326 nucleotides) under Microdochium bolleyi. RNAcentral's name for it is "Fungal small nucleolar RNA U3". It matches the Rfam family "Fungal small nucleolar RNA U3". From Rfam's summary of the family: Small nucleolar RNAs (snoRNAs) are involved in the processing and modification of rRNA in the nucleolus. There are two main classes of snoRNAs: the box C/D class, and the box H/ACA class. The record is from Rfam by way of RNAcentral. Lineage: Eukaryota; Fungi; Ascomycota; Sordariomycetes; Xylariales; Microdochiaceae.